ACAUUUCCGAUAUUUCAGAAUGAGGUUUUUGAGUAAAGACAUUUCAAAGACAUUUCAGAUGUACAGAUCAAUAAUCAUGAACACCACAACCACAUGCUGGUAUAUGUAGCCCAUAGGUAGUCCACAAGUACCCCAUGGCCACCAUGGCCACCACAUGCAACCCACACCUCCCUCACAACACAUACACAGCCCAUAGGUAGUCCACACGCACCCCAUGGACACCACAUGUAGCCUGCACCUUCCUCAUAGCACAUACACAACCCACAAGUAGUUUACACACACCCCAUAUCCACCAUGACCACCACAUGUAGCCUGCACCUCCCUCACAACACACAUACACAACCCAUACCAUAGGUAGUCCACACGCACCUCAUGGCCACCCUAGCCACCACAUGCAGCUUGCACCUCCCUCACAACACAUACACAACCCAUAGGUGGUUCACACGCACUCCAUGGCCACAUGGCUACCACAUGCAGUCCGCACCUCCCUCAUAGCACACACAUAGCCCAUAGGUAGUCCACAUUCACCCCAUGGCCACCACAUGUAGCCCCACCUCCCUCACAGCACACACAGAGCCCAUAAGUAGUCCGCACACACCCCAUGUCUACCAUGGCCACCACAUGCAGCCCGCACCUCCCUCACAAGACACACACAACCCAUAGGUAGUCCACACACACCCCAUGGCCACCAUAUGCAACCCACACCUCCCUCACAGCACAUACACAACCCAUAGGUAGUCCACACACACCCUAUGGCCACUAUAGCCACCACAUGCAACCCGCACCUUCCUCACAACACACACACACACAACCCAUAGGUAGUCCAUAGGCACUCCAUGGCCACCAUGGCUACCACAUGCAGCUCGCAUCUUCCUCACAUCACACAUACAACCCAUAGGUAGUCCAUAGGCACCCCAUGGCCACCACAUGUAGCCCGCACCUUCCUCAUAGCACAUACACAGCCAAUAGGUAGUCUACAUGCACCCUAUGGCCACCAUGGCCACCACAUGCAGCUCGCACCUUCCUUAUAGCUCACCCAUGCAUACCUCACCUUCACACGCUCACCCACAUGCAGCCCACAC
RNAcentral lists this long non-coding RNA (1082 nucleotides) under Vitis vinifera (wine grape). RNAcentral describes it as "long non-coding RNA (VVIN_LNC001057)". The record is from RNAcentral. Lineage: Eukaryota; Viridiplantae; Streptophyta; Magnoliopsida; Vitales; Vitaceae.